Molecule: ribosomal RNA, 497 nt
Filed under: uncultured bacterium
Lineage: Bacteria
Description: partial 16S ribosomal RNA
Rfam family: Bacterial small subunit ribosomal RNA
Source: RNAcentral
GACGAACGCUGGCGGCGUGCCUAAUACAUGCAAGUCGAACGGAAAGACUCGAAGUUUGCGGAGCUGUCGAUAGCGGCGGGCGUGUGAGUAACGCGUGGAUACCGUACCUCUCAGAGGGAGAUGACUUCGAGACACCGGCGAUAAUACGGGAUAAUAUAUUUAACCACAUGGUUCAGUGGUGAGAGACGGUUUUUAUGAUGCGUCUACAUGGAUCCGCGUCGCAUUAGCUAGUUGGUCAGGUAACGGCGUACCAAGGCAACGAUGCGUAGCCGACCUGAGAGGGUGAUCGGCCACACUGGAACUGAGACACGGUCCAGACUCCUACGGGAGGCAGCAGUAGGGAAUCUUCCGCAAUGGGCGAAAGCCUGACGGAGCAACGCCGCGUGAGUGAUGAAGGUCUUCGGAUCGUAAAACUCUGUUAUUAGGGAAGAACAAAUGUGUAAGUAACUAUGCACGUCUUGACGGUACCUAAUCAGAAAGCCACGGCUAACUACGUG